Molecule: non-coding RNA, 189 nt
Organism: Daphnia pulex (common water flea)
Lineage: Eukaryota; Metazoa; Arthropoda; Branchiopoda; Diplostraca; Daphniidae
Source: Rfam
AACACAUUCCUUAGAUCCGCUGUUGGGGCCUUUACAGGCUCAACCUCCUUACCGGAGGUAUAUCGGCAGUGAAUGAGUCAUUGAUGUGUGAAAUAAUUAUACCUCCAAUGCUAGAACAUUGCCUGUGCCUGUUAACUUGACUUGUCAAGUGAGUUCAGGGCCAGGAUGUAUUCUGGUGCUGGGGACAAU